GUCGUUCUCAUCACCGGCAACUGCCACUGCCUGAACCUGUCUCUGCUUCGAGCAGAGGAGGACGAGCACGCCUGCUGGGCUGCCUCCCUCGCACGCGCAUGGUCCGGUUUCAGCCCAGUCCAGCAGCGCCCCGCGCCUGGGCCACUUUCCGCAAGCCAGCCCAGGAGGCCCAAUGUGAGCAGCGCAGUCCCAGCAGAUUCGGCCCGUUUCUAUUUUCUUCCUGUCCAGUGGAUUUAGCUAUUUUCCCAAAGAGUGCUAGUUUUGCAGAAUAGUCCCUAGGCAACAUGCAUAUAAUAACUCCGAAUUUGUGCAUCGGAUUAAAAUGAAUUAUAUAUGAAAAAUGCUUAGAAUUAUGUGUAGGUUAAUUAUAUGCCACUUUCAUCCAUGUUUAAAAUGUCUAAAAUGAUGUUUGUUUAAAUUUGCUCCUAUGUCAUGCUAAAAUGAUUUAUUUCAUAACUAAAUAACUGUGGCUCCGAUUUAAAUAAUCUUUAUAUGUAAAUGGGGUAGAAAAAUGCCUAGAUUUACUUGGUGCACUCAUCUUGCAUGUUUAACAACUUUAAAAUAAUGCUUAGGGCAGAACAGUACCAAACCUUAAAAUAUGCAUAUGGGGUUUUACCGGAAUUGUUGUCCUUUGUUUCCGGCCUCAUUUAAACUUGCCUAGAUAGGUAGUUUUCAUUUGCUUCACCCUCUUGCCAUGUUUAACAACAUUUAAUAUUGUUGAGUUCAUAAACGAGAUCGAACUAAAUAAGUCAUGUGGUGUUCCGUCAAUAUGCAACUCGUUGCAUAUUGAGCUCCACUUAAUUUGUAGAAUUGCUUGUGCAUUUUGCCAUGCCAUGCUUCAUUAAACCGGGUAUGCAUCAUACUUGAUUGUGCAUCAUGCCAUGCGUAUGUGAUGGUUGAUUACUUUGUUGUUUGGUUCUUUCCGGUGUUGCUUCUUCGGGUUGGUUCCGAGAACGUCGUGUUUGUGAGGAUCCGUUCGACUAUGUCCGUUUGCCUUCUUCAUGGACUCAUUCUUCUUCCUUGCGGGAUCUCAGGCAAGAUGACCAUACCCUCGAAAUCACUUCUAUCUUUGCUCGCUUAGUUGCUCGCUCUUUUGCUAUGCCUAUGCUACGAUACCUACCACUUGCUUAUCAUGCCACCCAUAUUGUUGAACCAAGCCUCUAACCCACCUUGUCCUAGCAAACCGUUGUUUGGCUAUGUUACCGCUUUGCUCAGCCCCUCUUAUAGUGUUGUUAGUUGCAGGUGAAGAUUGAAGUUUGUUCCUUGUUGGAACAUGGAGAUGUUGUUCCUUGUUGGAACAUGAUUAUUUUGUUGGGAUAUCACAAUAUCUAUUAUUUAAUUAAUGCAUCUAUAUACUUGGUAAAGGGUGGAAGGCUCGGCCUUAUGCCCAGUGUUUUGUUCCACUCUUGCCGCCCUAGUUUUCGUCAUAUCGGUGUUAUGUUCCUAGAUUUUUGCGUUCCUUACACGGUUGGGUCAUAAUGGGAACCCCUUGACAGUUCGCCUUCAAUAAAACUGCUCCAGCAAGGCCCAACCUUGGUUUUACCAUUUGCCACCUAGCCUUUUUCCCUUGGAGUCGCGCAUCCCGAGGGUCAUCUUUAUUUUAACCCCCCCCCGGGGGGCCAGUGCUUGUCUAAGUGUUGGUCCAAACUAGAGCCACUUGCGGCGCCACCUCGGGGAAACUUGAGGGCUGGUUAUAGCUGUACGUAGUGUUCAUCCGGUGUUGCCCUGAGAACGAGAUAUGUGCAGCUCCUAUCAGGAUGUUGGCGCAUCGGGCGGUCUUGCUGGACUUGUUUUACCAUUGUCGAGGAUGUCUUGUAACCGGGAUUCCGAGUCUGAUCGGGUCUUCCCGCUAGAAGGAAUAUCCUUCGUUCAUCGUGAGAGCUUGUGAUGGGCUAAGUUGGGACACCCCUGCAGGGUUAUGAUCUUUCGAAAGCCGUGCCCACGGUUAUGGGCAGAUGGGAAUUUGUUAACGUCCGAUUGUAGAAAACCUGAAGUUGACCUUAAUUAAAAUACAUCAACCCCGUGUGUAACCGUGAUGUUCUCUUCCGGCGGAGUCCGGGAAGUGAACUCGGUGUUGGAGUUAUGCUUGACGUAGGUUGUUCUAGGAUCACUUCUUGAUCAUACUUUUAUCGACCGUGCUUUGCCUUCUCUUCUCGCUCUCAUUUGCAUAUGUUAGCCACCAUAUAUGCUAAUCGCUUGCUGCAGCUCCACCUCAUACCUUUACCUUACCCAUAAGCUUAAAUAGUCUUGAUCGCAUGGGUGUGAGAUUGCUGAGUCCCCGUGACUCACAGAUACUUCCAAAACCAGUUUGCAGGUGCCGAUGUUUCUGAGCAGGUGACGCAAACAAGGUCAAGGAGGAGCUCAAUGAAGAUCUUGUCCUUUAUGUUGUUUCGUUUCGAGUUGAUCAGUAGUGGAGCCCAGUUGGGGUCGAUCGGGGAUCUGUGUAGCAUUUGGGGUAGUCUUCUUUUAUUUUGGGUUCCGUAGUCGGACCUUGAUUGUAUCUGGUUGAUGUAAUGCUUUAUUCAUUUAAUUGUGUGAAGUGGCAAUUGUAAGCCAUCUAUGUAUCUCUUUCCCUUAUGUAUUACAUGGGUUGUGUGAAGAUUACCUCACUUGCGACAUUGCUUUCAAUGCGGUUAUGCCUCUAAGUCAUGCUUCGACACGUGGGAGAUAUAGCCGCAUCGAGGGCGUUACAAGUUGGUAAUCAGAGCCUUCCCCGACCUUAGGAGCUCCCUGCUUGAUCGAAUAGCUGGCGUUGUUGAGUCUAGAAAAAUGUUUUGAGUCAUUUAGGAAUUAUAUAUUGGAGAGUUAGGAAUUCUUUUUACUCCUUAGUCCCUUCAUCGCUCUGGUAAGGCAUCCUGACGUAGAGUUUUGACUCUUCUCUUCUAAAAUUUCACUAUAUUUUUUUAGGAUCACGCGGGUAUCUUGGAAUCGUUCCGAUGGUUUUGUGACGAGAACAUUGUUCUUGGUGCCUCCUGUCAUUUAGGGGUUGUGGCAGUGUCCCGGGGAGUUGAGCUCCAAGGUGUUGUCGUCACAAUUUUAUCGUUGCAGUUCUAGAAUACCUGAGUUUAGUUUCACCGACAUCGAAAAUCUCUUUUAUGCAGUUGUUGGUGAGAUAACCUCGACGCCACCCAGUACUGGGGCGGGAGUUCGGGAGUAUUGCCAUAACUCGUAUAACGGAUGCUUUUCGAAGGUUGAGGUAGACGAUUUCCGAAGGUUUCUUGGUUAUGUGUUGAAGGAUGGAUACAGCUGGAUGUAGGAUUUGCUAGUAUUGGGUGAGAUAUUAUGCUUCCCCUGUAUCCCCAACACCUGAUUGCAUAACCGGAAAGUUUCGGGAGUUUAUAAGUGGGAAUUCAAGUAGCUCUUAGGAUAUCUUUCCGACAGAUGUAUGAUUUGAAAUUGGGGUUUGACGUCUAGUGGUCCGCCUAUUCACAGUUGGUUUUACAGUGGUCUUGUUGUGUCUUAAAGAGUCCUUGGCUAUGUCGACUCGAGGACGCUUCGUAUGUCAUGUGCACUGCCUUGUACAUGAUGGUGUUGUACGAUCGAGCCCGUGUAGGCCCCACCACGAAAAUUUCGGACGAAAUCUCUAUCAUAUGUUUGUUCCGGCUUAUUCUACAAGCCAAUCCUUUGUUUUUGGUUUUGAGUUAUGGUAUUCGAGUUGCUUCGAAGUCAAAUGUUGAUUCCAUAUCUUUCCUAAGCAGUGUUAUCAUACCCCGAUGUGAACACUAAUCCUUCUCAAUCAUCGAGUUUUUCAUGUCAAUCCUUUUUAAACCGGUGUGCUUCUCUUCAAGUGGAUCCGAUCAUUGCAACAUCCGCAAGAUCAAGUAUCAGUUCUUCUCAACGGUGUUUGUUUCAUCCGUCCCCAAGUUGCCUUUGUUUUCCCACCCACCUACCCUUUUUCUUCGAUGACUCAGAUUUCUUAAUCAAGUAUCCUUUUAUUAUUGUGAAGUCCCUCCAUUCCUUUUUCCGUCAAUGUUCUUACCCGGUGUUUUCCAUGAAGAUGGUCUACUAGCUCAUCUUUCAUCAUUCUUUUUCUUCUCCGGUGGAUUCAAUUCAAGCUUUUGGUGUUGAUCAUAUCCUUUCGUCGUUUCAGAAGUUUUAUCAUACCGGUGCUCAUCAUAUUCAUUCAUUUCUCGCUAUUCAAUUAUUCUAGAGUGCUGAAGAUAUCUCGGAAGCCUCGUCUUUUCCUUCAAGAUCCGUUCAAACCUAUUUCAAGGUUGUUAUCUCAUUCUAGCCGUUUAAUUCAACCGGUGCAUUCUCUCUUUUAAAUUGUUCUACGGUGUAUCUUUUGAGUGGGCCCUAACCCACAGGUCUUUUCCCCAGGAUCUUACCUGACUCUUCUAAUUUCCGGAGUUAUUCUCAUAUUCAUCUCAAAGUUUGACGUAAGAAUGAUUUAUCAUCAGUCAAAUGCCUUUCUCCAAGAUCGGUUAAAUUCUUUUCAUUGUUGGCUCAACCUUUUCCAUUCUUCAUUUCGGAGUGCCUCAACAAUUCUUGGUGGUGUUUCUCGUCGUCAUUCUCGGAUUUUGAAGACCGAAGAAGAAUUUUCUCUCUCUCAAUCUUGCUCUUUUCUCUUCAAGAUUCGUCAUUCUAGCUUUAUGCCAUUCUCUCAUAAUUAUUUUCGGUUGUGAGAAUUCUUUUCACCCAUCCAGAGCAAUUCAGGAGUCUUUUCAGUUUGAUUAUCCGGGCCCAUCAUCUCAGAGUUAUUCAUUCCAGCCUUCAGCUCUCAUACUCUAAAUCAUACCGCGGCUUAAAUCAAGGAUUCUCUAAUCAGCUCGUAAUCUCUGCGUUCUCAUGGAUCUAAAUUCUCUCAAGUAUCUUCGUUCUUUAUAAUUCUUCCCGGUGUUUCUUUAUCUUUACUUCAUUCAUUUCCAAUUCUUACGGUGGUUCAUUCAAGAUUUCUCUUUCGUAUCAAUUCAUUCGUACCGGUGGUUCGUUGAAGACCUUCCUCAAGUUUGCGCUAUAUCUAUCUUAAUCCUUUCUACGAGAAUAAGUAGUAGGCCAAAUCCAUUGCUUGUCAUCAAUCUAAAUUGGUGAAGGAUAAGCAUAACAUAAUUCUUAUUCUUGUUUCAUCCUAAUGAUUAAUUCUUUAUUCCGGAGGCUCAUCAAAUUCUCGGUUCGAGAUGCUUUAUCUAUUCUCUUCCCGGAGUUCCAAGCUUUCUCAAUUAUUUCAUUGCGAAGAUCCAUCUAAGCAUUGCAAGGCUUCACCUUGUGUUCUCUACUUAUCUUUCCUUUCAUUUGAUUAUUCUUUUGUUACCGGAAUUCUUCAUGGAGGCUCUACAUGAUGGUUCACCAAGGAUUUAAUUCCUUCUCGAAGUGUUCAUCAAGUUUCUUUUUAGACGAGUUCAAGCAUUCUUCAUCUUGCUAUCCAUCUAAGCAUUGCAAGGCUUCACCUUGUGUUCUCUACUUAUCUUUCCUUUCAUUUGAUUAUUCUUUUGUUACCGGAAUUCUUCAUGGAGGCUCUACAUGAUGGUUCACCAAGGAUUUAAUUCCUUCUCGAAGUGUUCAUCAAGUUUCUUUUCAGACGAGUUCAAGCAUUCUUCAUCUUGCUAUCCGGAGUGCAAUUCUUUCUUCCGUAUCAUUGGAGGUGGUAUUAUGUCAUUCUUGAUAAUUUGAGUUCAUGUUUCAUGAUUCACAUGUUGUUAAGAAUGAGAUAUUUUAAACCCAUCAAUCUCGUCAUUGGAGUUAUCUGGGGUUAUAGUUCACCUAAAGCCUUCCCUAAGGAUUGUUGCUAAUUAUGGUGCUUAUAAUGACCCAAGUUCUUCAUUUAUCCUCCCGGUGAAAUAAGUUUUCUCGUCUCCUUGGUCAUAUCAAUCCAAUUCUUUUCCCGUAAGUGGCAGGUUGUCACCUCAUAAUUUGAGAUGUAUUCCAUAAGACCAUAUCAAGCUUAUUCUUUUUGUUAUUGGUUUUUUUCCAACAACUCCGUUCUAGCAUUUGUUGUAAGCGUGCUCUCUCAAGAUCUUGGUUCCCUUCAUUCAUUCCAUUCCAUUCUUACUUUUGUUCCGGAGGCAUUGUGAUGUUGCUCUCUUCAACCCAUCUUCUUGUUUUAUCAGGAUCGUGUUCUUUUCGUGCAUAUCCUUUUAACCGGAGUAUUGUGCCCCUUUGUUCAAGUUCUUUUCGCCUUAUCAAGCCUUGCAUCUCUUUUCAACCGGAGUGCUGUCCGAAUUUGUUCUUCCUUAUUACUCUUCCCUACCGAAGUGCUUUCAACUUUGUUCUUCCUCGUUCCUCUUUCCUAACGGAGUGCUUUCAACUUCGUUCUUCUCCGUUGUAUUCUUUUCUCGAAAUGGCUUAACCUUUUCAAGGUUCUUUGGUUUCACUCAUUUGUCAAAGAAGCAACUUAGUUUUACCUCUUCUCUUUCUCUUCAGUUGUCCCUCUGGUGCCAUUCUAGAUCUCGGGACGAGAUCCUCUCAUAGUGGUGGAGUGUUGUAACGCCCCGAGUCUGAUGUCCCAGGUGUCUUCCAGUUAGUCGUUGUGUUGCCAUGUCAUUUGCUUGCGUGUUGCAUUUCAUCAUGUCAUCUUUUGCAUAGCAUCAUCAUGUUUUCAAAACUUGCAUUAGUCCGGGUCUCCCAUUCCCGUCCGUUGUCUGUUCUAAGCCCAGACCCACUUGCACGCGCCCGCGGCAUGUCCGAAAUAGUAUUUUAUAAGUGGCCGGAAAAUGUUCUCGGAAUGGGACGAGAGUUGACGUGCGGUCUUAUUAUAGUGUAGAUAGACCGCCUGUCAAGUUUCAUCGCAUUCGGAGUUCGUUUGAUAGCCCAACCGUUAAACUAUAGCGGCAUUAUAGCCGGUCUAACGUCGGACGUUUUCGGUCUCCAGAAACAGCCGUCGGGCCUCUUCUUCUCUUCUCUGCUCUCAGACCACCUAGUUCCCCCUCCGCUUUGGACCGCACGAUCGCGAUCCGAGGGUCCAAAACGGAGCAAACCCCUCUCCAAACACUAAUCCUAGCCCACCUACUAUAAAUAGACCACUUCCCCUUCCAAAUCGGGUCCAAACCUAGCCUAGCCCCUUCCCAAACCUCCAGCCGCCGCAUCAACCUCGAAGCCCGCGCCGACUAACCAGGUCCACCACCUCCUCCUCAUUUUCCGGUGCCCUCCACCUCACACCCGCCACUUGGCGCGCCCAGAUUGGCUCAGCCACCGCCCGCAGCCGCCCGUGGCCACUCGCAGGCGGCCACGUGGCCUCUCCUCGCUUUUCCCUGUCUCCCUGCGCCGUCGUGGCCCGCCAGGACCCGGAUCGGGCCCUGGGAAGCCGCCCAAGCCCAAGUCAUCGCCCGUUCGCUCCUCGCUGCACCUCCUCAAUCCGUUCUGGAUCGGGAGGGAGGCCGCCGCUCGAGCUCCCGCAAGACCGGCCACCGUAGCCCACCUCACCGCCGGCGACCCUUGCUGCCAAACGUCGCCCAGGUCGCGUCCCCGGCCGCCCCUCUCCUCCUAUCCUCCGUUUUCCCUUCCUCCUUCUCUUACAGCUCUCUCUCUGACCAUGGAUAGCGCCACCGCCCGGAGCUUCUCGCUACCGCCCAGCUUCCGUCGUGGCCCGGAUUCGCCGGAUCCGGCAAGCUGCCGUCCAGAUCCGCCCGUCUCCGCCAGUCCCUGACAUCGCUGGAGCCGCUUCCCACCGUGUCGUCAUUCUCAUCGCCGGCAACUGCCACUGCCUGAACCUGUCUCUGCUUCGAGCAGAGGAGGACGAGCGCGCCUACUGGGCUGCCUCCCUCGCACGCGCAUGGUCCGGUUUCAGCCCGGUCCAGCAACGCCCCGCGCCUGGGCCACUUUCCGCAAGCCGGCCCAGGAGGCCCAAUGUGAGCAGCCCAGUCCCGGCAGAUUCGGCCCGUUUCUAUUUUUUCCUGUCCAGCGGAUUUAGCUAUUUUCCCAAAGAGUGCUAGUUUUGCAGAAUAGUCCCUAGGCAACAUGCAUAUAAUAACUCUGAAUUGGUGCAUCGGAUUAAAAUGAAUUAUACAUGAAAAAUGCUUAGAAUUAUGUGUAGGUUAAUUAUAUGCCACUUUCAUCCAUGUUUAAAAUGUCUAAAAUGAUGUUUGUUUAAAUUUGCUCCUAUGUCAUGCUAAAAUGAUUUAUUUCAUAACUAAAUAACUGUAGCUCCGAUUUAAAUAAUCUUUAUAUGUAAAUGGGGUAGAAAAAUGCCUAGAUUUACUUGGUGCACUCAUCUUGCAUGUUUAACAACUUUAAAGUAAUGCUUAGGGCAGGACAGUACCAAACCUUAAAAUAUGCAUAUGGGGUUUUACUGGAAUUGUUGUCCUUUGUUUCCGGCCUCAUUUAAACUUGCCUAGAUAGGUAGUUUUCAUUUGCUUCACCCUCUUGCCAUGUUUAACAACAUUUAAUAUUGUUGAGUUCAUAAACGAGAUCGAACUAAAUAAGUC
Molecule: long non-coding RNA, 8360 nt
Filed under: Triticum aestivum (bread wheat)
Lineage: Eukaryota; Viridiplantae; Streptophyta; Magnoliopsida; Poales; Poaceae
Description: long non-coding RNA (TAES_LNC020963)
Source: RNAcentral